Streptosporangium subroseum is the source of this 92-nucleotide regulatory RNA element. It matches the Rfam family "Glycine riboswitch aptamer". Rfam says of the family: This family represents the bacterial glycine riboswitch. The record is from Rfam. NCBI's taxonomy places the organism in Bacteria, Bacillati, Actinomycetota, Actinomycetes, Streptosporangiales, Streptosporangiaceae.
UGACACCGUGCGGGAGAGACCCCGACAAGAUCGGGGCGCCGAAGGAGCAACCUCCCCGGAAUCUCUCAGGCACCAUGUACCGCGCGGACGAG